Molecule: ribosomal RNA, 460 nt
Filed under: uncultured bacterium
Lineage: Bacteria
Description: partial 16S ribosomal RNA
Rfam family: Bacterial small subunit ribosomal RNA
Source: RNAcentral
CCUACGGGUGGCAGCAGUGAGGAAUAUUGGUCAAUGGACGAGAGUCUGAACCAGCCAAGUAGCGUGAAGGAUGACGGCCCUAUGGGUGGUAAACUUCUUUUAUAGGGGAAUAAAAUGUGACACGUGUGGGAUUUUGUAUGUACCAUAUGAAUAAGGAUCGGGUCACUCCGUGCCAGCAGCCGCGGUAAUACGGAGGAUCCGAGCCUUAUGCGGACUUAUUGGGGUUAAAGGGAGCGUAGGUGGGUUGUUAAGUCAGUUGUGAAAGUUUGCGGCUCAACCGUAAAAUUGCAGUUGAUACUGGCAGUCUUGAGUACAGUAGAGGUGGGCGGAAUUCGUUGUGUAGCGGUGAAAUGCUUAGAUAUCACGAAGAACUCCGAUUGCGAAGGCAGCUCACUGGACUGCAACUGACACUGAUGCUCGAAAGUGUGGGUAUCAAACAGGAUUAGAUACCCGAGUAGUC